RNAcentral lists this long non-coding RNA (615 nucleotides) under Spirodela polyrhiza (greater duckweed). Its description in RNAcentral is "long non-coding RNA (SPOL_LNC002577)". Lineage: Eukaryota; Viridiplantae; Streptophyta; Magnoliopsida; Alismatales; Araceae. The record is from RNAcentral.
CGCCGCCGGUCCUGUUCCAGGAUGGAUACUUGGCGGCGAUUGUGGCGACGUAGCCCCGCAGAAACUCGACUAGAUUUCUUUUGUGUGGGGAUUUAGGGUCGAAGAGUUUCAUGCGGAGUUUCGUGGAGCUGAAGGGCAUGUAGAAGAGGUGGGCCUUCGAAGGGUCGUCGACGAGGAACCGGUUCUUCCCCUCCAUGUGCUUCAUGAACCAGCCCUCCGCCGCGUAGAUCCCCGAGAGGAUGGGCUCGUGGAAGAUGGGUCUCUCCCCAUCCUUGUAGACGUACACCUUGAGCAUCUUCUCCAUCAACUUGUAGCUCCUGAAGGAGAGAGAAGACGCUCUGCUUUUAAUUAAUCGCGGCCUCCUCAGGUUUUCUCAGAACAGAGCGGAGCCGCCGGCGAGGUUUUUCAGUUCCCCCGCAGACCUUUUUUUUUACCUCUUGAAGGUGGAUAAAUUACGGUAAACAGGUGGGUAGAGUUCUGGGUCGUCCUCUACGAUCGGCGCGUUGAGGAUCUCUCUCCUGGCUUCAAGAAUCUGCUGAUCAAUCGGAGAAGCCCAUCUCGGAACCUGCAACAGCGCGUGAAUCGAAACCGUAAGACGACGCAAUCCUCUCCGAA